Molecule: ribosomal RNA, 440 nt
Filed under: uncultured bacterium
Lineage: Bacteria
Description: partial 16S ribosomal RNA
Rfam family: Bacterial small subunit ribosomal RNA
Source: RNAcentral
CCUCCGUUCUUCCGCCGUCUUUACUAUUGCUCCAUGGGGGAAACCCUGAAGCAGCAACGCCGCGUGGAGGAUGAAGGUUUUCGGAUUGUAAACUCCUUUUGUUAGAGAAGAUAAUGACGGUAUCUAACGAAUAAGCACCGGCUAACUCCGUGCCAGCAGCCGCGGUAAUACGGAGGGUGCAAGCGUUACUCGGAAUCACUGGGCGUAAGGAGCGCGUAGGCGGGAUAGCAAGUCAGAUGUGAAAUCCUAUGGCUUAACCAUAGAACUGCAUUUGAAACUGUUAUUCUAGAGUAUGGGAGAGGUAGGUGGAAUUCUUGGUGUAGGGGUAAAAUCCGUAGAGAUCAAGAGGAAUACUCAUUGCGAAGGCGACCUGCUAGAACAUAACUGACGCUGAUGCGCGAAAGCGUGGGGAGCAAACAGGAUUAGAUACCCCUGUAGUC